GAGAGAGAGAGAGAGAGAGAGAGAGAGGGAGAGAGAUGGGCUGCAAAAAAUCAAUGGGCUGUGAUGGCAACGAAGCUCACUGCCUUGUUUGUUACAACCUGGAAGCUGUGGACUGGUGGUUACCAAGUUGUGGGUAACCAGUCCAGGUCAUCAACCCAAAAUCCAAACAAGUGAGGGGUUCUAAACCCGUGGGUGCAGCCCAUGCCUGGUGACGGGCGGGCCGGGCCACUUCGAAGUGAAGAAACCAUAAAUGGAAAUAUGAGAAAAAAAUCAGAGACAGGCUUAGCC
Molecule: long non-coding RNA, 288 nt
Filed under: Amborella trichopoda
Lineage: Eukaryota; Viridiplantae; Streptophyta; Magnoliopsida; Amborellales; Amborellaceae
Description: long non-coding RNA (ATRI_LNC000291)
Source: RNAcentral